GAAUAGGCAAGCUACCCAUAGGAUUGAUGGAAUAUCAAAUAAGUCUGAAAAGAUGAAAUGAUUUAGUUCGCCUAUGGAUGUACCUAUUGAAUGGAUUAGGUAGUUGGUAAGGUAACGGCUUACCAAGCCAAUGAUCCAUAGUUGGUCUGAGAGGAUGAUCAACCACAGUGGGAAUGAAAAAGGCCCACACGAGCAAAGUCUCGGCAGCAGUGCGGAAUCUUGGUCAAUGGCCGAAAGGCUGAACCAGUCACCUAGAAGGAUGGAUACAUUAAUUUGAUAAAGUCCUAACGAAAGGAGGAU
RNAcentral lists this ribosomal RNA (300 nucleotides) under uncultured bacterium. RNAcentral describes it as "bacterial SSU rRNA". The stretch from base 1 to 251 matches the Rfam family "Bacterial small subunit ribosomal RNA", at positions 115 to 395 of the family's 1533-position model. The record is from RNAcentral.